GCUCAGGGGCUCUAGCUGGUUGUCACUGUGCUAAGCCAAGGAGGGAGAGACAAGUCUGGACUCAGGAGAGAGGUCCAAGCUGCAGAGACUACAUCUCUAGGAAUCAUCACACCAGGCAACAGAUUACAGGAUGUCUGGGCCAUAAACAAAUUGGGAAAGAUGGACAGGUCACAGUCUCUCUCCUAUAUGGGCACAGAAGCAUGAAGAAGUCAUUUCAGCAUAUGAAAUGGAGUCUUGCUCUGUUGCACAGGUUGGAGUGCAGUGGCAUGAUCUUAGCUCACUACAAUCUCCAUCUCCCAGGUUCAAGAGAUUCUCCUGCCUCAGCCUCCUGAGUAGCUGAGAUUACAGAUGUGACCAGAGUUCAAAGAGAAGACACCUGUGAAUGCGUUGGAGGGACAAAUGCCAGAUGCAUGAGAUGUUACCAAUUUCUCUUUUGAGAAUGUUGGAGUCCACCUUGCUUAAUGAAGCAUUUACAACACUUUCAUUGUGCACCACUGAGCGAGCCAUGGUGAGACGGUGCUCCUUCUGGGUUUCCAGACAUGUGUCAUUUCCACUGCAUAUUUAGCAGCACAUAACUGCCUGCAGUGGGGAGAGUGGAAUGUGAGACAAGGCUUUACAACCAUUAUCUGCUUCAAUGUUCAUCAACUCUACGUGGAAGUUACCAUCAUCACACGAGAGAUGGUGGGUGAAGCCAAGGCUUAAGGAUACACCUUUUCAUGUAAGUGAAAUCAAAGAAGAUGAUUAAAACAUCAGUGCCAAGGACAUAAGAAGACAGCACAUGAAGAUAUCUUCAAGAAGACAGCGUGGAAGAUGUAGCUUUGGUAAUUUAAAGAAAGUAGAAGACACAGAAACAGUUACGCGGUAAGUGCUGGUGUGAGGUAAUCAGGUAUGUACAGCCACUACUGAGAAGCAGUAAGAGCCCGUGGGAGACCAGGAGCACGGAUGUACAUUGUCAUUGUAUUUCUAUAAGACUUUGCUAUAGUAGUGAGAGUAGGGCUUCGAAUUUUAACAAGGACUAAUCGCAGAGGAUUUAAAAAUGCAGGCUGGGAAAUAUGAUCUUCAUUUGAUAAAAAACCAAGACAUAGGUUAGUGCUUUUACAAAAGGAAAUAAUCUGGUGAUGAUGCUUUCUUAGGAAGAUUAAAUCUGAUUAGACUGUGUAGAAUGAGCUUGUAUAAGAGAGAAUACUGGAUCCAGAGAGAUGGCAAACAAUUUAUCAUAUCACUUCUACGUGCUGAGAUGAGGAUUUGGAUGCAAUGGAGACGAGAAAUGAAGACACAUAAAUAAUAUAUUCCUACACCAGUCACAGAGAAAUCAUAUCCUAACCACCCAACCAAUUUUCUUUAGUCAUAACUAGGAAAGAUCAACCAAGAUCACUAAAUCGUUAGAAAAAAAAAUCAAUAGUAGAGAAACAGACUGCUACACAAAAAGAAAUGAUUCAGGUAAUACCAAUAACAUAUUAAAAAACCUCUAAGAGAAUCCCUGUAAUUAGUAUUUUCAGAGAGAUUUGAGAAAAUAUUACAUUUGUAAAACAUGAACAUGGUACUAGGGAAAACCAGGCAGAGAACACCGUCCAUGUAUUAGGUUGUUCUCGCAUUGCUAUAAAGAAAUACCUGAGACUGGGUAAUUUAUAAAGAAGAGAGGUUUAACUGGCUUAUGGUUCUGCAGGUUAUACAGGAAGCAUGGUAUAGGCAUCUGCUCAGGGAGGCCUUAGGAAGCUUACAAUCAUGGUGGAAAGUGAAGGGGGAGCAGGCACAUCACAUGAUGAAAGCAGGAGUGAGUGAGAGAGAGAAGGGAGUAGGUGGAGGUGCCACACACUUUUAAAUGAUCAGAACUCACAAGAACUCACUCACUAUCACCAAGGCAUCACCAAGCCUGAGGGAUCCAUUCCCAUGACCCAGAAACCUCCCACCAGGUCCCAACUCUGGCGUUUGAGAUUACAAUUCAACAUGAGAUUUGGACAGGGACACAUAUUCAAUCUAUGUCAGUCCAUAUUCUUCACCUUCUCUCCUGUUCAGGGAUGAACUGUUAGCUAAAGUCUAGCCCUUCUGUUCAAAGAUGAACUCAUAGCUAAAAAAUGCAAGACAUCCUGUUAAGGGAUGAACUCUUAGCUAAAGUCUAAGCCCAGUCUUUCCUCCGAGCCCUGGAUCCCAUCCUUUCUCAUCAGUUCAAGGCUAUCACCGCUAGAACUGUCUCUCCUCAGGUAUCAAUAAUAUUUCCUCUACUGAAUCAUUUCUAUCAGCUUCCAAUAUAAUGUUCAAAUAUCUCCCAAUACAAUUAUUUUAAAAAAAUCCCUCUCUGGCUUUCUUUGUUUUCUUUUACAGCAAUUAUUGAAUUUUUAAUACAUAACUUUGCUCACUUUCUUCAAUUCUCGUUCUCCUUUUUGUUCUUGAACCCACUGAAAAUAAGCAGAUGCUCCCACAAAAACUUGCCUAAACAAGCUGGCCUGUUGGCCUCCUGUUAUCAAAUGCCAGUUUUCUUCUGGUCUACUUGGGUCUAUGCAUAGCAUUUGAGACAUUUGAUCUUACUUUCCUUUCAGAAACAGCUUUUUCACCCAGCUUCUAGGAUUCCACUCUGAUUCUUUUCUCUUAUUAGUUCAUUCCACCCCUUAGUUGGUUUACUGUUUUAUUUUAUGCUUCCCUCCUGUAGAAAGUAGGUCCUUUGGAGAAAAGAUGUUAUUUUGUAUCCCUUCCAUCUGGAAGAGUGCUCAGUACAUUUUAAGCACUUAAUAUUUGUUUGUUGACUAGGUAACUGAAGGAAAAUAAGAAAGUUAAAAAUAUGACUGCAACAAUAAAUGUUUCAAAGGACAGUGAAUAAUAAAAUGGAUACAUCUGAAGACCAAGCUGCUGAUCUGGUCCAGUGAGUCAAGAAGAUCUCACAAUAAGCAAAGCAAAAAUACAAAAAAAGGUUGCAUAAUGAGUGGAAGUUAAGAGACAUAGAUACAAGUUAUUAAAAAAAAAUCUAAUAGGAAUUUUGGGCUGAAACAACAGAAACAAUGGGAGGUGGCAACACUCAUAAAAUAUUGGAAGGAAUAUUUCUGAAGCUGAUAAAAGUUACGGCUUCUCAGAUUGAAAGAUUUUAGUUAACAUUAGAUUGCAUCCAAAAGAAACAAAGCUGCUCUUUGAUAACUUUUAUAACUCUCGGGAGGAAAAAUAUCUUGACUAUCUAGAGAAUUAAAAAGAAGCUACUGGUUGGGCAAGGUGGCUCACACCUGUAAUCCCAGCAGUUUGGGAGGCUGAGGCAGGAGGAUUGCUUGAGACUUGAGACCAGUCCCAGCAACACAGCAAGAAUCUAUCUCAG
This is a long non-coding RNA of Pan troglodytes (chimpanzee), 3298 nucleotides long. RefSeq lists it as uncharacterized. The transcript has 8 exons. Lineage: Eukaryota; Metazoa; Chordata; Mammalia; Primates; Hominidae. The record is from RefSeq and is a predicted model, not a curated record.